AGUGCCAACAAAAAAUUUAUACACUUAAGUUGUCGUGAUAAUUGUUCUGGUAGAGCUAAGCUCUCAUUAAAGGACAUAAUAAUCACGAUAGAACACAGCGAAGUGUAAAUAUAACACCCAUCUUAGUCUUCCAUCAACACAAUCACAAGAUUCUGUGAUUUUGCCUGAUAUCUUAAUUUCAUCCAAUGGUAUUCCACAUUUGGAACCACAAGUUUCUCCCAUAGUGCCUGAUAUCUCAAUUUCAUCCAAUGGUAUUCCACAUUUGGAACCACAAGUUUCUCCCAUAGUGCCUGACACAAAUCUAGAUUCCCCUCUUGACAUAGCACAAGCCUUAUUAGACUUAAAUUCAAAUAUUUAUGGUAAAAAUAAUUAUAAUAAAUUGCAUUAAUAUUAUUUUUAAUUAA
This is a long non-coding RNA of Gordionus sp. m RMFG-2023, 404 nucleotides long. RefSeq lists it as uncharacterized. The record is from RefSeq and is a predicted model, not a curated record. The transcript is spliced from 4 exons. Lineage: Eukaryota; Metazoa; Nematomorpha; Gordioida; Chordodea; Parachordodidae.